UGGGGGAUAUUGCACAAUGGAGGAAACUCUGAUGCAGCAACGCCGCGUGAGGGAAGAAGGUCUUCGGAUUGUAAACCUCAGUAGUCAGGGACGAAAGAAAUGACGGUACCUGAAGAGUAAGCUCCGGCUAACUACGUGCCAGCAGCCGCGGUAAUACGUAGGGAGCGAGCGUUGUCCGGAUUUACUGGGUGUAAAGGGUGCGUAGGCGGGAUAGCAAGUCAGACGUGAAAUACCGAGGCUUAACUUCGGGGCUGCGUUUGAAACUGUUAUUCUUGAGUGAAGUAGAGGCAGGCGGAACUCCUAGUGUAGCGGUGAAAUGCGUAGAUAUUAGGAGGAACACCAGUGGCGAAGGCGGCCUGCUGGGCUUUAACUGACGCUGAGGCACGAAAGCAUGGGGAGCAAACA
Molecule: ribosomal RNA, 405 nt
Filed under: uncultured bacterium
Lineage: Bacteria
Description: bacterial SSU rRNA
Rfam family: Bacterial small subunit ribosomal RNA
Source: RNAcentral